This 253-nucleotide ribosomal RNA is filed under the name uncultured bacterium. RNAcentral describes it as "partial 16S ribosomal RNA". It matches the Rfam family "Bacterial small subunit ribosomal RNA", at positions 524 to 776 of the family's 1533-position model. The record is from RNAcentral.
UACAGAGGGUGCAAGCGUUGUUCGGAAUUAUUGGGCGUAAAGCGCGUGUAGGCGGCUUUGCAAGUCGGGUGUGAAAGCCCUCAGCUCAACUGAGGAAGUGCGCCCGAAACUGCAGAGCUUGAGUGCCGGAGAGGGUGGCGGAAUUCCCCAAGUAGAGGUGAAAUUCGUAGAUAUUGGGAAGAACACCGGUGGCGAAAGCGGCUCACUGGCUCGUAACUGACGCUCAGGCGCGACAGCGUGGGGAUCAAACAGG